This is a long non-coding RNA of Mauremys reevesii (Reeves's turtle), 1090 nucleotides long. RefSeq lists it as uncharacterized. The transcript has 3 exons. NCBI's taxonomy places the organism in Eukaryota, Metazoa, Chordata, Testudines, Geoemydidae. The record is from RefSeq and is a predicted model, not a curated record.
AAGCGCAGGCAGGAGUCCAGAAGCUGAAAGCCCAGCUGGGUAAUGUCAGUGCAGCGUAUGGAGAAAUCCAGAUCCGUCUGGACAAUGUCAGUGCAGCGCGAGCAGCAGUGCAAGGUCACUGCAAUAAGUACUAGCUGCAGUGCUGGCUGGUGCCGUUUCUGCUGGUGCUGAGGAUGAACGGAGGAUUUCAGGCUCCCAGGCUGACAACGCAGCGACUUUCUCCAGCACCGAGUUCUCUUCCAUUGAAAAUCACCGGUGGCUGCACCUGGGCCCACACCAUGGUGAUCGGUGUGGCGUUAAAUUACACCCUAGGCCUCGUUAGCCUAAUGGGAGCACCCACUCAGAAGUUCCCUGGGCUUGGGGCAGCUGAAGGGGAAGGGAAAUGCAGCACUAGAAUCUCUGGGCUCCCUGCGUGUGUCCCUGUGACGUUAGCCUGGGCUUCUCACCUCAGUCUCUGCUCCUAGGUUACCUACUGACAAAGCUCUCCAGGGGCUGGACGUUUUUCAAUGGGAACCUCUAUUACUUUUCACAAGAAAGGAAGUCGUGGGAUGAGGCCGAGCAGUUCUGUGUGUCUCAGGACUCGCACCUGACCUCUGUCUCCUCCCAGGAGGAACAGGAGUUUCUCUCCAACGAGACCAAAGGACAAAAUCACUGGAUUGGACUCACCGACCAGGAGACAGAAGGCAGCUGGCGCUGGGCGGAUGGCACAGAAUACAGAGCAGACGCAAGCAGGGGGUUCUGGGCGCAGAAUCAGCCAGACAACUGGGAUCAGGGGAUUGGAGGCAGAGAAGACUGUGUUCACAUCCAUCCAAUCAAGCGGAAUUUGUGGAAUGAUGUCAACUGCACUGAGCCUUUCAGGUGGAUUUGUAAGCAGGCCCAUGGACCAGCUGGGAUAUGACAUGCAGGUCCCAGCACCUCAGAAAGCCACCUUAAUUUUCGAGCUAGAAUAUUUCCCAGCCACCUGCCGUUGAGGAGCCCUGGGCACUGGAGGGGGCCGCAUGGGAUGUGCAUCGCAGGGACGCUUUGUCUUGCUGUGAUAUUUCUGGCUGUGGCAGCAACAGCUGCCCUUAUGCCGCUCAGUGUGGCUGGC